UACGGAGGGUGCAAGCGUUAUCCGGAUUCACUGGGCUUAAAGGGUGCGUAGGUGGGCAGGUAAGUCCGUGGUGAAAUCUCUGAGCUUAACUCAGAAACUGCCGUGGAUACUAUUUGUCUUGAAUGUUGUGGAGGUGAGCGGAAUAUGUCAUGUAGCGGUGAAAUGCUUAGAUAUGACAUAGAACACCAAUGGCGAAGGCAGCUCACUACACAAUUAUUGACGCUGAGGCACGAAAGCGUGGGGAGCAAACAGG
This 253-nucleotide ribosomal RNA is filed under the name uncultured bacterium. RNAcentral describes it as "partial 16S ribosomal RNA". It matches the Rfam family "Bacterial small subunit ribosomal RNA", at positions 524 to 776 of the family's 1533-position model. The record is from RNAcentral.